RNAcentral lists this ribosomal RNA (468 nucleotides) under uncultured bacterium. RNAcentral describes it as "partial 16S ribosomal RNA". It matches the Rfam family "Bacterial small subunit ribosomal RNA", at positions 28 to 507 of the family's 1533-position model. The record is from RNAcentral.
GACGAACGCUGGCGGCGUGCUUAACACAUGCAAGUCGAACGGAAAGGCCCUGCUUUUGUGGGGUGCUCGAGUGGCGAACGGGGGAGUAACACGUGAGUAACCUGCCCUUGACUUUGGGGUAACUUCAGGAGACUGGGGCUAAUAUCGGAUAGGAGCUCCUGCUGCAUGGUGGGGGUAGGAAAGUUACGGCGGUGGGGGAUGGAUUCGCGGCUUAUCAGCUUGUUGGUGGGGUAGUGGCAGACCAAGUGUUUGACGGGUAGCCGGCCUGAGAGGGUGACCGGCGACCUUGGGACUGAGAGACGGCGCAGACUCGUACGGGCGGCAGCAGGCGGGAAUAUUGCACAACGGCCGGAAGUCUGAUGUAGAGACGCCGCGUGCGUGAUGACGGCCUUCGGGUUGUAAACCGCUUUCGACUGUGACGAAGCGUGAGUGACGGUAAUGGGUAAAGAAGCACCGGCUAACUACGUG